CACACACACCAGUACCUCCCUACAUUCUGAUCUGACACACACACACCAGUACCUCCCUACAUUCUGAUCUGACACACACACACGUCAUCUUUAUCUUCUAAUCCCACGUACCCAUCCACAGCUUCUCUCCGAUCCACAGUUACUGUACAAACACAUGUAUCUUCUAAUUUGAGAUUGACAGCUCUUCUUUCAAUAGCUGAGCGAUGCCAUGUCCAGUCCUUCUCCAUUGGGAACGGGUAAAUGUGCUCCAACUCCCAUUGUGUUUGUCUCUUCAUGGAUAGAUUCUAAAUACCAGGCAUCCUCUACCGCUGGCGUUCAACUAGUAACUUAACAAGGUGUUGGUUUAUUUCUGAAAGAUACUGCUACUUCUAUAACACAUAUGGGUCAACGUGACUUCAGAAGAGCACACUGGUUCCUCCUCUGAGACAUUCAGCCAGCCAGCCAACUCCACUAAGGAAUGACGGGCUAUUGGAUGGCUGCUUGCCGUUUUUAACCAAUCAUCGGGCACAGUCUAUUUUGCCCUUAAAAAUCACAGGAAGUGAACGUGCCAUCAGCAGGUUCACUUUAGACAGAAACGCGUUCCAUCUCUCAUCCUUUUGACUUGUAUAGCCGGAGUGGAUCAGAUAUUUAUUUGAGUCCGGUGUGAGUCCGUCACCCCAUUUGAAAGGUAUUUGUCCCUAGCUGGUUGCUUGUUCUGACAAUGAACAAUACUGUCUUGAUUGGUUGAGUGUUUUAUUUUUUAUUUUUUUGUAGUCGCUAUAGAAGUGAAGCAACUCUUUACAUUCAGCAGUUUAAGUGUGUGUUUUGACCAUGGACCCCUAUUCACUAAGUAGUGCACUUAGUUUGACCAUGGACCCCUAUUCACUAAGUAGUACACUUAGUUUGACCAUGGACCCCUAUUCACUAAGUAGUACACUUAGUUUGACCAUGGACCCCUAUUCACUAAGUAGUGCACUUAGUUUGACCAUGGACCCCUAUUUACUAAGUAGUACACUUAGUUUGACCAUGGACCCCUAUUUACUAAGUAGUACACUUAGUUUGACCAUGGAACCCUAUUCACUAAGUAGUGCACUUAGUUUGACCAGGGUUCCAUUUGGGACCCCCCAGAUACUGUCAUGUACAAUAUCCAUAGAUGGAUGAGCAGAGUUUACUGGAAUAAUUUUCACCCUCCCGAAACAUGUUCUGUUAUUCUCUGAAAAUGAUAUGUGUGUGUGUGGAUUAUGUCCCUGUCUUUAUAAAUAAUAAGUGUGUAGGAAUGAUGUCCUAUUGUAAAAUGAGAUGACUGGACCUGAACAGUCCAGAUACUACUGCAAAUUACAUCCUGGGUUGAAAUAGAUAGUUAUGUGCUUAUAUAUGGAGAGAAAAAAAGAGAACAGAAAAUGUCAUGUUUAAACUAUACAAGGAUUUAUAUACAUUUCAAAAUGACUUUAAUGAUUUGUUUUUGUUUUUUGGCAUGAUGUAAAAAUUCAUGUCUCGCUGUCACGGUCCUGUUAAAAUGAGUUCUGUGUCUUGUUUGUGAAAUGAGUUGUAAAUGUAAUAAAUACUAUAUGGAAAGAGAA
Long non-coding RNA from Oncorhynchus tshawytscha (Chinook salmon), 1559 nucleotides. Lineage: Eukaryota; Metazoa; Chordata; Actinopteri; Salmoniformes; Salmonidae. The record is from Ensembl.